Podarcis lilfordi (Lilford's wall lizard) is the source of this 70-nucleotide non-coding RNA. The record is from the annotation of a GenBank genome assembly. NCBI's taxonomy places the organism in Eukaryota, Metazoa, Chordata, Lepidosauria, Squamata, Lacertidae.
GUCCUAGCUCAGUUGGUAGAGGGUGAGACUCUUAAUCUCAGAGUCGUGGGUUCGAGUCUCAUGUUGGGCG